UUAACGCGAAUUUGUAUGUAGUUGGAACAGCGCCCCUAGCGGCAAACGAAGGCAAACGUUCUAACUGCAUACAAAUUUGAGUCA
RNAcentral lists this microRNA precursor (84 nucleotides) under Bombyx mori (domestic silkworm). RNAcentral's name for it is "mir-2807 microRNA precursor family". It matches the Rfam family "mir-2807 microRNA precursor family". Lineage: Eukaryota; Metazoa; Arthropoda; Insecta; Lepidoptera; Bombycidae. The record is from Rfam by way of RNAcentral.